AAUGAUACACACCUAAUUCGAGGAAUUGGUUCCUGGUGGUGUGAAGAGGUGAUAGGGAGGAGGCGAUAGGGAAGUGAGGAUACCCAGGGGUUUCCACAGUGUCAGGAAUGUUUUGUUUCUUAGGAUAGGUUGGGUUCACCCAUCUCACAUGAUGCUUUAGGGCUUUUUGGUUUUAAAAUAUAUUUCCUAAUAAUUUCUUGUGACCAUGUUUAUACCCAAAGCCGUUACCGCAAAGCAUAGCUAUGAUAUUUGUCGGUGAAUCUCUCUCCCUUGCUGAGGUGCAAGGACACACCCUCUUGAGGGCAGAAGCACCCAGCUCAGCUGCUCCCAAACUUCUGGCCCACUAGGUUUGGGGGUAAUUUUGUGACACACAAACAGAAAACGAUUACGAGGAAUCACUGAGUGUUCUUGUGCAAAGCAAGGACACUACCAAAGUGGUAUUUUACCGGGCUGUCUUGCGGCCUUCAAAGACCAAAUAGCUAAAUUUGUUUUUUGAUCUGCAAAGCCCCAGGUGGUUAGCACAAACGAGCCCGAGCCCGGAAGAGCCUGCAGCCCCAGACUUCGUGGGCGGGGCAGGCAGCUGUCAGUAAUUUCACUGCAGCCCCAGGAGACCACUCUGGGUCAACUCUGCACUUUUUUCAAUCAAAUCUCCUUGCCUCAGAGGGAGACCCCCUGAGGACAGAAAGUAGACCUGGGGCUUCUCUGCCAACCUCGAGGGCUCAGCUAAGCAUGGGAAAGGGGCAGCUGAUGUGUGAUGCUUCAGAGUUGAGGAAAACGUCCCCAUCCUGGCCGGGAGAUGCUGUGCAGCCGUAAGGACAGAGUGGACACGAAUGGAACAAGACCCCUAAACUUGCAGCUCUCUUUGCAGCCUGGUGUGGACAGAUCUUCGGGACCCCUCUCCCUGCUCUAACAGGUGAAUCCAGCAAGCAAACUGCACAGGCUUGAAGUCAGUACAAUAAAAAUCUGUGCUGUCCCAUGCAGCAGCCAUGCAGGAUGUCUUCAGCCUGUGUUAGAAUGACGAUGCGACCCCUCAGCUCGUGACUGAAGACGCCGGCUGGACAGAUGCACAACAGGAAAAGAUAAAGGGUAGCUGGCUCUCAUGUUUCCCAGCUGCAUGUCUUAGAGAUUGAGGGAACAAUUAACAAACCUGGUCCUCACCUCCCUCCACACAUCGAGAGCAUCAGCAUCUCUGAACUGGUCUGAGGUAUAAACACGGAAUUCUUGUUUAUGUCACCUUCGAUGUAUCACCCAGAGCAAAGGCCAAGUGUACUCUCCCUUUUUUGACAUAUAUGAAAUCGAGUUGUAAGGUUUUUUUUUUUCUUUUCCCCCUCCCUGCGCAUACACUGUUUGUGAAAGAGAUGGAACAGAAGCUGUGCGUAACCUCACACCCCUGGGAGCAGCUCCAUCAGAGGGCUCUGCAGAACUGUUUCCCGGGGUUCCACCUCCUCACGCUGAUUGUUAAAUAAACUCCUCUAAUAUCA
Molecule: non-coding RNA, 1481 nt
Organism: Equus caballus (horse)
Lineage: Eukaryota; Metazoa; Chordata; Mammalia; Perissodactyla; Equidae
Source: RefSeq, a predicted model, not a curated record